Molecule: ribosomal RNA, 797 nt
Filed under: uncultured bacterium
Lineage: Bacteria
Description: bacterial SSU rRNA
Rfam family: Bacterial small subunit ribosomal RNA
Source: RNAcentral
GAAACACCAAUAUGGCGAAGGCACUGUACUGGGCUUUUUCCUGACGCUCAGAGACGAAAGCUGAAGGAGUGAUUAGGAUUAGAUACCCUAGUAAUUUCAGCCGUAAACGAUGAAAACUCACUGUCGAGCCAAUAUAUGGAGCGGUGGUCAAGCUAACGCGUGAAGUUUUCCGCCUGGGGAUUACGCUUGCAAAAGUGAAACUCAAAGGAAUUGACGGGGACCCGCACAAGCGGUGGAGUAUGUGGUUUAAUUCGAUGCAACGCGAAAAACCUUACCAGGGUUUGAAAUAAUUUCAAAACUUCUUGAAAGAGAAGCCUCCUUCGGGAUGGAAUUACAGGUGGUGCAUGGCUGUCGUCAGCUCGUGUUGUGAAAUGUCAAGUUAAGUCUUGUAACGAGCGCAACCCAUGUCUCUUGUUGCUGUUUACAGUGCUUAAGAGAAACUGCCGAUCAACAUCGGAGGAAGGUGUGGAUGAUGUCAAGUCAGCAUGCCCCUUACAUCCUGGGCUACACACGUACUACAAUGGUCGAGACAAAGGGUCGCUAACCUGCGAAGGUAUGCCAAUCUCAUAAACUCGAUCUCAGUUCGGAUUGUACUCUGCAACUCGAGUACAUGAAGGUGGAAUCGCUAGUAAUCGCUGGUCAGCAUACAGCGGUGAAUACGUUCCCGGGUCUUGUACACACUGCCCGUCACACCAUGGAAGUCGACCCUUCCCUAAGUCGUUACUCGAACCUGUAAAGGACGAGGACGCCGAAGGCAGAGUUGGUGACUAGGGUGAAGUCGUAACAAGGUAGCCGUA